Neolamprologus brichardi is the source of this 332-nucleotide non-coding RNA. Lineage: Eukaryota; Metazoa; Chordata; Actinopteri; Cichliformes; Cichlidae. The record is from RefSeq and is a predicted model, not a curated record.
CAGAUUUCAAAGUUGUUAAGUUUAUACUGUUAUUCACUUUGCAUAACUCUGUAUGUUUCUGUUUGAUUCAGAGGGGAGAUCACUUGCUGUGUGAUUCCUGCAUGUGUACUUGUCCUAGCACAGUAGCUGUGUGGAGAAACCGAAGUCACUACUGUUGUCUAUACUGUUUGAAUUUAACAUGUACAUAUGAUAGUUACUGUUGUCUCAGACCCUGAAAGGCAGUUUUAGGCUGAGCCAGUGGAAUAGUUAAAUUUUGCCGUUUCACUCAAAACUACAGAAUUAAAACUGUGCUCCUCCGAGUACAGUCGGAGAAUAAAAAAGCCCACAAAAUA